RNAcentral lists this ribosomal RNA (792 nucleotides) under Triticum aestivum (bread wheat). RNAcentral's name for it is "partial small subunit ribosomal RNA". The record is from RNAcentral. Lineage: Eukaryota; Viridiplantae; Streptophyta; Magnoliopsida; Poales; Poaceae.
AUGGCACAAUUCACUACGAAAGGUCUGAAUCUUGGUCGUGCACCUCAAGUUGGUGUGAGAUUUAAAAAUCUAGACGAGGCUUGGUCGUCUUGGGUUAAUUAUGGCGAUCAAGUAGGCUUCAAGGUCAGAAAAAGGUACACAAAUAAAAGCAAGUUUGAUGGUAAGGUCACUUCAUGUAGAUAUGUUUGUGCAAAGGAGGGUUAUCGAAGACAAGACAAUCGAAAUCGUGUGAUAAAGAAUCCUCGAGCUGAAACAAGAACAUUGUGUGAUGUUCAUAUGACUCUUACACUAGAUCGAAUGGUAGGAGAUUAUGAAGUGACUGAACUAGUUGUUGUGCACAAUCACAAUCUUUAUUUGCCGCAAACCUUUCAUUUGAUGGUAUCACAAUGGAAGAUUUCAGAAGUGCAAGCCUUUGAAAUUGAAACAGACGAUGAUACGGGAAUCACACCAAAAGUUGCACAUGAGUUGGCUAGUCGCCAAGUUGGUGGGCCAAUGAAUCUUUCCUACACUUGUCGUGACCAGAAAAACCAUUUACAGAGCAAGCGCCAGAGAGAAUUGGCCUAUGAUCAAGCAGGAAGCAUGUUGAAGUAUUUUCAGGACAAGAUUGCUGAGAACCCUUCCUUCAAUUAUACUUUGCAAUUGGAUUGUGAAGAAGCCAUAGCCAAUAUAUUUUGGGCUGAUGCUAAGAUGAUAAUUGAUUAUGCACACUUUGGAGAUGUUGUUACCUUCGACACGACCUUUGGCACAAACAAAGAAUAUAGACCUUUCGGUGUCUUUGUUGGAUUCAAUUAG